Molecule: ribosomal RNA, 253 nt
Filed under: uncultured bacterium
Lineage: Bacteria
Description: partial 16S ribosomal RNA
Rfam family: Bacterial small subunit ribosomal RNA
Source: RNAcentral
UACAGAGGGUGCGAGCGUUGUUCGGAAUUAUUGGGCGUAAAGCGCUUGUAGGCGGCUUGUUAAGUUCCGUGUGAAAUCCCCAGGCUUAACCUGGGAAGUGCGCGGAAAACUGGCGAGCUUGAGUGCCGGAGAGGGUCGCGGAAUUCCCGGUGUAGAGGUGAAAUUCGUAGAUAUCGGGAGGAACACCAGUGGCGAAGGCAGCCCCCUGGGCUAACACUGACGCUCAGGCACGAAAGCGUGGGGAGCAAACAGG